GGGUCAGUAGGUUGGUCGUGCCACCGGUACGUACUGGUCUCACUAAUUCCUCCUUCCUGAAGAACCGUAAUGCCAUUAAUUUGGUGUUGCGGGGAAACAGGACUGUUACUUUGAAAAAAUUAGAGUGUUUAAAGCAAGCUAACGCUUGAAUACAUUAGCAUGGAAUAAUGAAAUAGGACGAUCGAUCCUAUUUUGUUGGUUUCUAGGAUUGACGUA
RNAcentral lists this ribosomal RNA (216 nucleotides) under Glomeromycotina sp. RNAcentral's name for it is "partial small subunit ribosomal RNA". The stretch from base 40 to 216 matches the Rfam family "Eukaryotic small subunit ribosomal RNA", at positions 686 to 864 of the family's 1831-position model. The record is from RNAcentral. Lineage: Eukaryota; Fungi; Glomeromycota.